Molecule: long non-coding RNA, 925 nt
Filed under: Pogona vitticeps (central bearded dragon)
Lineage: Eukaryota; Metazoa; Chordata; Lepidosauria; Squamata; Agamidae
Description: lncRNA (ENSPVIG00000006772.1)
Source: RNAcentral
AUUUUGUUUCCCCCUAUAAACCCAGUGUGAGUGGCAACUGCUGUAAUUAGGGAGCACAGCCCCCCCCAAGGCUUUCCCUCUACAUUCUGCAUUUCCAUAUUGUCUACUUAGCAGGGUUCUUGGCCCUUCGAUUAUACUUGUGCUAGUUUCAAAAGUCAGCUGGUCCUGACACAGCUCUGCCACAGUCCAGCCAUCACCUGUGCCAUUUCAGUUCUCAUGACAUCACAGGAGCCCAACCCUGGACAUCACAAGAGAUUAACCUUUGGCCUCAGGUUUUGACCCUGAAAACCUCAGGAACCAGGAUGGUACUAUGGAUGUUGAGUGAUAAAAGUAAUUUUGGCUAGGACUUACUGGGUUUAAAUUCUACCAUCAGCAGGUAUGGAGUGUGGCUGUUAUACAGGUUAAUGGGUUUUUUCCCAUUCCAUACUUGUUUAUUUUGUGGCACCUUGACUGUAAGCAGAAGUCAGUAUUCUGUGGCCAGGAGUGGGAGUUAACCUGCUAAAUAGACAGAAGUCAGUAUUCUGUAAGCAGAAGUCAGUAUUCUGUGACCAGGAGUGGGAGUUAACCUGCUAAAUAGAUCCUACUGCCAUUUUGAAACAGCAGUAACAGUGAUGGGGCAGAGACCCAGCUGGGGAUGUGUGAAAUCUGGAUUAUAGGAUAGUUGAAUGACAGGAUUUGAAGGACUGGAUGGCAGGAAUCUGGGAAGUGAAGAGCACUCUACCUUUGGAGCAACACAAUACUGGAAACAGCUUUUUCAUCCAGGACCAAAUGACAGAGAAAGGUAUUAAAGAUUAUUUCCUCAUGUUAAAGCAAUUUUCAGUUUGGGAUGUAACACAGGCUUAAUGCUAAGGGUCUGUAAUUUUUUUUUUUGCAGAAUCCAGCAUGCUCAAAUAAAGAGAAAUUGCUGGGGGAGGCUGAACUUAAU